CCUACGGGAGGCAGCAGUAGGGAAUCUUUCACAAUGGGCGAAAGCCUGAUGGAGCAACGCCGCGUGCAGGAUGAAGGCCUUCGGGUUGUAAACUGCUUUUAUAAGCGAGAAGUAUGAUGGUAACUUAUGAAUAAGGAUCGGCUAACUACGUGCCAGCAGCCGCGGUCAUACGUAGGAUCCGAGCAUUAUCCGGAGUGACUGGGUGUAAAGAGUUGCGUAGGUGGCAUAAUAAGUAGCUAGUGAAAUCUGGUGGCUCAACCAUUCAGACUAUUAGCUAAACUGUUAAGCUCGAGACCGUUAGGGGUAACUGGAAUUUCUAGUGUAGGAGUGAAAUCCGUAGAUAUUAGAAGGAACACCAAUAGCGUAGGCAGGUUGCUGGGACGGUUCUGACACUAAGGCACGAAAGCGUAGGGAGCAAACGGGAUUAGAUACCCCUGUAGUC
RNAcentral lists this ribosomal RNA (442 nucleotides) under uncultured bacterium. Its description in RNAcentral is "partial 16S ribosomal RNA". It matches the Rfam family "Bacterial small subunit ribosomal RNA", at positions 338 to 795 of the family's 1533-position model. The record is from RNAcentral.